RNAcentral lists this long non-coding RNA (18794 nucleotides) under Sorghum bicolor (sorghum). RNAcentral describes it as "long non-coding RNA (SBIC_LNC000893)". The stretch from base 5153 to 5259 matches the Rfam family "Plant small nucleolar RNA R71". Lineage: Eukaryota; Viridiplantae; Streptophyta; Magnoliopsida; Poales; Poaceae. The record is from RNAcentral.
CCCAAUACACGAGAGGGGGACUAUAUAAGAAUCAAUGAAGCUGUCACUAUCACGAACCACCCCACGAUCUGGCAUAUUGGGUACAAUCGUAGAUAAAUACGGUAUAAACACCACGCCUACACAAUAUCUAUCAUUUACCCAUGGAUCCGAUGGAUAAACGCUAUACGAUCCUAAGCAUGUAUAUAGAUCGAAUCUAACUAAGCCAAGUACAUAACUAUGAUAAACUAAGAACAAUAUAAUCUUGAAUAUAAGCAAGUAGAGCAAAGUCAUAAGCAAUAUAUUGAAGUAGAACAAAGUCAUAUUCAUAAUAUUGAAGAACAAAGAUAAUUAGAAAGUAAUUAGAAGCACAAUUAGAGAAUUACCAAGAAUCCUCCUGACAGAUCCGGAAACCAAUCGAAGAUUGACUCCUUCUAGUUCUAAUCCUAUGUAGCUAUGCUAAUCUAGAUAUCUAAUUGAUGUGGUGGCUCUAAUCUUGAUCAGAGGCUUCUUCUCCCUUGAUGGAACAAUGAAUUAGGGUUGAGAGGCUCUCUCCUCUAGGGGCCAGGGGGUCUGGUUUUAUAGUCCCUUCAAGUGAAUAUGGGCCGUUGGAUCAAACCGACAUAGAUUGUAUGGUUUAGAUUCAUCCUUUAGGUCGGUGGAAAUCUCCCGCAAAGCAGAGUCCUGAUUGGACUCAGAGGCAGGGCGGGCGCCCUGACCAACUGGGCGGGCGCCCAGGGUCUGGCCCCGUUUCGCCUGCGCUUCGGUCUCGUGGCUUCUGGAGUCUUCUAGAUGUAAGAUAAUUGCGCGGCACGUUAAUAUCUCUAUGUAAUCCCGACGUGUGGGCCUUUCUUCCGUAUUUCCUGAUAACCCCCUACAGAAAUAGACAAACACCAAAACUCGUGGAAUUCUGUCAGAUAAAACCCUAAGUCUAGAUGUUGAUUUCAUUUGGAUCCUUUUCUUUAUUUAUUUGAUAAUUAAAUUUGAUACUUAAGGACCGUCAACAAACUCCCCCAAGCUUACCUCUUGCUCGUCCCUGAGCAAGGAUAGACUCAGCUAUGGAUCAUAAGUUGUUGCAAUAUUUUUUUUUAAAUUUGACGGUACACAUACUUUUUAAAUAAGAUCUCAUCUCUGAGUUAGGGUAAACUGUCAAGACUUAAAACUUACUUACUUUACCUUCUUGUAACCGUCACUUCUGUCUUGAGUAGUUAAAAGAUAGAACAGUCCAGCCAAGUGCCAUGUCUCUUAUUCUUGAUCAGCUAUAGCUCUGGGGUUUUUGCAGAUUUUCAAAUAAAACUCAUAGAUUCCUUGUAUGACUCUUAAAUCUCUCUUUUGUGGUAUUUCUGGAUCCUUACCAAGGCAGUAAUGGUAUAUGCCUUCUCUCAAGAUAUGUAGUAUUUGUGGUAUAAAGCAUAGUGACAUUGUCUUCUCUCUCACCUUACUCUAAUAAGGCUUUAAUAUCUGGAGCUCAUAGGUGGGACAUAAAGUAUACAUACUUACAAGACAUUUAUUGUAUAGUCAAACCAUGGAUCCAAAGAAACAAAUCAAUAAGUUUAAUCAAGAUGUGCAUGUGUGGCUAAUGAAUGGUGUAUGGUGAUGAUGAUGAUAACAAUGGUGAAAACAAUGGAGGUGGAAGUCUAAUUCUACUUUUGCUCUUUGAGGGGAUACAUACCUUCCUUGCUUUUUGAAACUUUAUGAGGAGAAUGAGAUGCUCUUCUUUUUCUUUUCUCUCAGGUGGGUAUCUUGCACCCCUAAUUCUACUGUCGGACACUUGUCCAUUUUUACCUCUCGUCUCACUUUUUUCUUUUUCUUUCGAGGUUCCGAGCACUUGCUCCUUUUUAUUUCCUCGUAUUUUUUUAUUUUCUUCUUUUUUUUAGAGCACUCAUCUCUUGAGAUAAUAUAGCAAGUGGUAGUAACAAGAUAACUUGAGCAUUUAUCUCACAAGGGAAAACAGAAAUAUUUUUGGUUAUUCUCUCCCGGGUUAGGAGUAGAAUAUUUUUGGGUGAUUCUGGAGAUGGAAUGGGCGGAUAUAUGUGGAUGGUACUUCCGGAGUAGAAGUAGCAUAUAUGAGUGAACGUGCAAGUGAAAUCUUGAUUUAACCACAUGACAAGUUCCUAAGGGUCUACACAGCUUGACCACACUCAAUGCUCAUAAGCAGUAAAUAGUAAAUGUGUGGCUCAAAGUCUAGCAAGCAUGUAUAUAUGGCUAUGGUAGGAAUUUAAACUCUCAUCAUACAGGAACUCAUCAUGCAACAUUUUAAAGAUUUUCAAAGAUAAAAUUCUCCAGAAUUCUAGCAUCUCUAGGAACAGAUAAACAGCAGCUCAACCUUCCCAUAUCGUAUCCGUUAACAACUUAGACUUUAGAUCAAGUUUUCAUCCCACAAGUUUAGGUCUAGAACAAGCUUUAAAUUAUAACAGUUAUGUCUAAACUUGAGAGAGAACUUAAAAUGUGCAAAUUAGGCAGAGCAACCAUUUAUCAUAUCCAUGCUUAAGUUUUAUUAUUAAGAUACAGAUUAGCAUAGCCACUUUAUUUAUUUAUUAAACACACUAAGCAAAAGAUAUAUAUAUAUAUACACAUAAAAUCUUUAUUUGGUUUUUCAUAGUUUAUGUAUUUUAAUAUUCUAAUAUAAUAUAAGUAUAAAGAUAGAUAGAUAGAAAUACUUAUCGGGAUAAAUGGGGGUGCUCUCCCCCAAGCUGAAUUUUGACGUAAUUUCUCUUGAUGUAGCUAGCAGGUGGCAGAGGUGUAUUUGAAAGUCAGCAGCAUUCUGACAGCAAUUAGAAUGUCCUCCGUCUGCUAGUCUUCCUAAAUUCUAUGGAGCUCAAAUAGACAACAAAGCUUGUGGAACUGAUUAAGUGUUAGCAUAAAUAUCUAGCCUUUAUCAUGUUGAGACUCCUUAAUAAUUAUUACUCCCUGUUUUUAUAUUUUCAUUUUAUAAAGCAGAAAAAUAUUUAUUUUAUUUUUAUGCCACUACAGUGAAUGUGCUUAUGGGUUUUAUGCCACUCGUAUACUCACAUGGGGCUUACUGUUUUUCACAUUUUUAUUUUAUUUUUAGGAUAACAUGAGUAUGAUUAACUAAGCAAACUAUUUUAUAUAAUUGAAAGGGAAAGGAUAACUACCAAGUUUACCUCUUGGCAAGGCGUUCGGUGUUUUCAAGUCCUCCGAACGGGACUCUCCAUUUUUUCAAUCGUCCUGAGGUUCAUUGGGUGGCGUAGUCGGUACUUCCGGCAGCGCCUCCUCUUCAUGUAUAGUUAUCUUCAUUUUCCACACCUGACUUGGUGCUUCCGUCUCCUCUAGAUAAUUCUGUUUGAACUCUAUGUCUUCUGACCUCAUAACUUCUCCUUCGUAGUCUGCCCAUCCGUCCUUGAUGAUCUGCCUCCUCUGGUUGUGGUUGCGUCUUUUUCUGACCUGCUUAGAUUCUUCAACGAUAUAGUUAGGGUCAGUAAAGUAACGGCGUACCUUCUCUGAGGGGAAGUGCAUAUGGACUUCUCCGGUUCCAAUGUAGAUAAUUGCUUUAACGGUGCUGAGGAACGGUCUUCCAAGGAUGACGGGUGGAUCAUACUCGUCUUCUCCCAUGUCAAUAACUUGAAAGUCUGUGUAGACAAAGUGAUCGUCUAUUUUGACUGGGACAUCAGUUACUAUUCCUUUAACUUCUCGAAAUGUCUGAUCUGCCAUCUGGAGCUGAAUGUAUGUUGGUCUUAGUGGCAUGGUUCCGAACAAGAGCCGAUAGGUGACUGCGGCCAUUAUGUUGACGCCCGAUCCGGUGUCACAAAAUGUCUUGUAGAAGUUGUAUCCAUUUAUGGAGCAGUAAAUGCUUGGCAUUCCUGGGUCGUCCUUCUUGGUCAAACACGGUGACUUAAGUUGGUGAUCUUGGCCUCUAUGAACUACAGUGACCAUCUUAGCUGACUCGGUCCACACUUGCUUGUUCCUGUUCCUCCUGUUGGUCCUCUUCCUUGAUUUACGUCUGGAUUGAUCUGGAAUUUGUGUAGUCUUGUUCUUGAAGAAAAAUGUCUCCUUCUUCCCUUUGACGUAGAAACUGAUCUUGGCAGCACUAGCGUAGAUGAUAGCUCCCGUGGUGUUCAAGAAUGGCCUCCCUAAGAUGAUAGGUGCUCUCUCAUCAUUUCCGGUCUCUACCACUAUGAAGUCUGCUGGGGCAUAUAAGGUACCAACUCGGACACAAAGGUUCCUCAAUAUUCCUUUUGGAAAAGUUAUCGUCUGAUCUGCAAACUGCAAACACAUGGUUGUUUCUAAUAAAGGAUAUGUAAAGAAUUUUUCAUAGAGUACCCUGGGUAUAAUGUUGACACUAGAGCCAAAGUCGCAGAGUGCUUCUAGAACGUCCACCAUGCCGAUGGAUAUCGGGAUGACGGGGCGUCCUGGAUCGCCUCUCUUGACCAGCAGAAGGUCAGUAGAGAAUUCAUUGACGGGGUUACUCCAAUUACCUGCAUCAAACAUGUCUACAAGAUUUGUAGAUUCUAAUCCUUCCAGUUGUGAUGGUAUACCGGGGUUAGUAGUAGGAACAGCAGCAGCUAUUUGAUUUAACUGAGAUUCAAUCAUUUUAUUAAAGCUAAUUUGAUUCUUGAUGGCAGUAGAGAAAUUAUCCAUUCUGUUAUUUAUAUUUUCUAGCAUUUUAUCAUUAGAUGCCAAUUUCUUAGAUAGGUUAUCCAUUAGCUUUCCUUGAUUAGACACUAACUCUCUCAAAGGUGGAAAAUUAUUAGCAUUAUUGUUGUAAGAAUUGUUACCUUGAUAAUUACCUGAGUAGUUAGGCCUCUGUUGAUUCCAACCUUGAUUUUGUUGGGGACGGUUGUAGUAGUAGUAGUUGUUGUUGUUGUUGAUGUAGUUUACAUCCUCAAGUAUCUCAGGGCAGUGGUUGCCUGAGUGUCCAGUGUCUCCACACUCCUCACAAGUCAUGUGAGAGUCGUAGAUGUGCAUAACUUCCUUCUUAUCUCCAGCUCUAUCAUCGAGCUUCUUCAUGAGCAGGUCUAGCUUUGCAGACAGCAUGUCUACCUCCUUCUAGGUCCUCUCUUCAUUCCAGCUUUGAUUGGACGCCAUCUUCUCCACAAGAGCUGUGGCUUGUGGUAUAGUAAGUGAUAAGAAUGCUCCUCCAGCUGCAGCAUCCAUGGUUUCUCGAGCACUGUUGUCGAGCCCAUGAUAAAAUGUCUGCAUCAAUAGCCAACUCUCCAUUCCAUGAUGGGGACAUUCUAGGAUGUAGUCUUGAAAGUGCUCCCAUGCUUCUGGAACAGAUUCAUCAUUUUGUUGCUGAAAACUUGUAAUCUUCCCACGGAGAGCAUUGGUCUUGCCCAUGGGAAAGAACUUUGCCAGGAAGUUUGUUGAGCAGAGUGCCCACGUAGUAUUCUUCUCCUUUGUAGCGUAAAACCACUGCUUCGCUCUUCCUAACAGUGAGAACGGGAAGAGGCGAAGUAGUAUAGCAUCUUUGGAAACUCCUGAUAUGGUGAAUGUGUUGCAAAUCUCCAGGAAGUGUUGUAAAUGAGCACUAGCAUCUUCGUGUGCCUUCCCACAGAACUGGUUGGAUUGCACCAUGUUGAUAAGUCCAGGCUUGAGCUCAAAGGUGCCAUCGAUCUCUGCAGUAGGUCCAGUGCGGAUGUUGUCCGUAGUGGGAGCUGAGAACUCCCGGAUUGAUUUGUUCGCCAUGGCUUCGAACUCUGAAGACAAGUUCCGGUGAUCUUCUUGAUUGGAUGAAGCAUCUUGCUGAAGUGUUGAUGAUCUCUUCUUGAGCUUGGCUCUCGUCUUCUUGAAUAAUGCUUCGGGAUUGUCAACAAAAUUUCCUGGAAGAUGUCUUCUAUUCAUACAUUCCCCUGCAUAAGAUAAAAUAGAAAAAUAUCUGGGUAAAACUGUAUGAGAGAAUAGAUAAGCUCAAUCAUAUUAGUGAUGCGAAUGAUAACUCAAAAUCUUUUAUUCCAUUCCUGAUUAGUAAUCAACCUUCCCCGGCAACGGCGCCAAAAAUGCUUGUUGGGUAUUCUUAACAUCAUUACCAAAAGUAGACUAAGAUCUCUAAAUUUAGUAACGGUGCCAAAAAUGCCAAACCUAUCCCUCACACCACUUAAGCCAAGUUGUCAUCCCCAGCAUGAUAUAAGAGACGCGGUAUUGAAAUAUGCAAUUGCUCUUCUAAAUAAAUAAUAAAUGGGAUCUGCAAGCGCACAGAUUAAUACCGAUGCAGCAUUUUAACCGGAAAGUAUUCCAGGUAUCGUUAUUUAUAUUUUUACCACUGGGAAGGGAUUAACAAUCAUCACUAUUGAUUACAGAAUAGAAUAUGAGAUUGAGCAUCUAUCAUUGCAUAUAUAAUUGAGAACAUUAUAUCUAAGUCUUCAUACAGGGAUAAGUGUCACAUAAAAGAUAUAUGAAAUAAUAAUAGUGACAAGGAUAACUAAUCUGAUCUAGCCACAUAUUAAAUAUGAUAAGCACCUCAAUUAGAUACUCUAGAAAGUCAUUAGCAUGGUAUUAGAACGAACUACAAGAAUAUUCCCUAAGUUAUUCUCAACUAUAUAGUCUAGCAUUAUCAUAGUUAGUGCAAGCAUACUUAGCAAUCAUUGUGAGACAAGACUACGCCCAUGCAUAGUGAUAUUAGCAAGGAAUAUGAGAAACAUAGCAAUCACUCCCCUGUAAUAAUGUUGCUCUGCCAGCCCAAUACACGAGAGGGGGACUAUAUAAGAAUCAAUGAAGCUGUCACUAUCACGAACCACCCCACAAUCUGGCAUAUUGGGUACAAUCGCAGAUAAAUACGGUAUAAACACCACGCCUACACAAUAUCUAUCAUUUACCCAUGGAUCCGAUGGAUAAACGCUAUACGAUCCUAAGCAUGUAUAUAGAUCGAAUCUAACUAAGCCAAGUACAUAACUAUGAUAAACUAAGAACAAUAUAAUCUUGAAUAUAAGCAAGUAGAGCAAAGUCAUAAGCAAUAUAUUGAAGUAGAACAAAGUCAUGUUCAUAAUAUUAAAGAACAAAGAUAAUUAGAAAGUAAUUAGAAGCACAAUUAGAGAAUUACCAAGAAUCCUCCUGACAGAUCCGGAAACCAAUCGAAGAUUGACUCCUUCUAGUUCUAAUCCUAUGUAGCUAUGCUAAUCUAGAUAUCUAAUUGAUGUGGUGGCUCUAAUCUUGAUCAGAGGCUUCUUCUCCCUUGAUGGAACAAUGAAUUAGGGUUGAGAGGCUCUCUCCUCCAGGGGCCAGGCGGUCUGGUUUUAUAGUCCCUUCAAGUGAAUAUGGGCCAUUGGAUCAAACCGACAUAGAUUGUAUGGUCUAGAUUCAUCCUUUAGGUCGGUGGAAAUCUCCCGCAAAGCAGAGUCCUGAUUGGACUCAGAGGCAGGGCGGGCGCCCUGACCAACUGGGCGGGCGCCCAGGGUCUGGCCCCGUUUCGCCUCCGCUUUGGUCUCGUGGCUUCUGGAGUCUUCUAGAUGUAAGAUAAUUGCGCGGCAUGUUAAUAUCUCUAUGUAAUCCCGACGUGUGGGCCUUCCUUCCGUAUUUCCUGAUAACCCCCUGCAGAAAUAGACAAACACCAAAACUCGUGGAAUUCUGUCAGAUAAAACCCUAAGUCUAGAUGUUGAUUUCAUUUGGAUCCUUUUCUUUAUUUAUUUGAUAAUUAAAUUUGAUACUUAAGGACCAUCAACAACCUCCACUCUAUCUCUCUCAAUCUAGUAGAAACUAGAAGAUCUAUUUCUACUUUACAUUGGUUGCUAAGCCUAAAAAGAAAUAUUAAUUAGAGAAGAGGUUUUCCUUCGAGGGCACCCCUCAGUCUCUAUGAUAAUUUCUUCAUGUCUUCUCCAGGGGCCAGGGGGGUCUCCUUAUAUAGUCCUCCCCUUCUAUGCGUUUUUGGGUUGAUAGGCGAGGUGGUACUAUGUUUUCCUUGAUCCAAUAGGUCGGUGGAACAUCCCGUGCGAAGAGAGUCCCGACUGGCAUCCAACAGGGGGCGGGCGCCCAGGUCACCAGGGCGGGCGCCCUGGGCCUGGCCCCUUUCGGCCUCCGUCUUCUUCCCGUGGCUUCUGGAGUCCUCUAGAUGGUACAAAAUCAUGCGGUGUGUUGAUAUCUCUAUGUAAUCCCGACAUGUGGGCCUUUAUUCCUUAUUUCCUGAUAACCCCCUGCAGAAACAGAUAAACAACAAAACUCGUGGAAUUCUGCCAGAUCAAACCCUAAUUCUAGGUGUUAGUUGCAUAUUGGUCCUUUCUCUUGUUUAUUUGAUAAUUAAAAUUGAUACUUAAGAACCGUCAACAAAUACCCCCAUACUUAGGCUUUUACUCGUCCUCGAGAAAAGGAUGGUUAAGAAAAAUAUUUGGGGUAAACAUUUAAAACAUUCUCUUUAUAAUUGCAGGGUGUUAAAAAUUCCACUGUGUACCAUAGUCAGGGAAGAGUAAAGAUCCUUUCUUCUCAAUCCUAUCACUUGGAGCUUUUUGUAUAUUUUUUUUUGAAAGAAAGUUAACAUACCUUUGAUCCUCAUAGGUUCUCUCAGAUCACUCAUUAUCUUUUAUAUAUAUCUCACUGAGGCUGUUUUAUUUUUGCAAAAAUUCUCAAGCAUACUUACUUUGCAUUUAUUGCAUGAUCAAACGGGAUCCGAGGAGGGGAAUGUCAUAAACUUAGAUCAAAGACUUUGGAAAUUAAAAUCUUUGUCAACUCUUGCUGGCAUAUUGCUUAUUAGAGGGACCAUGGGCUAUCAUUUUUUUCUCUUUUCGCUUCUCUUUUUUUUACUAAAGUGGAUACCGAGGUACCCCUAAUUCUACUGCCGGACACUUGUCCAUUUAUUCUGCGAGGUUGUCGAGCACUUGCUCCUUUUUAUUUCCUCGAAAUAUUUCUAUUUUUGCAUAGCCCAUGCCUCUAAUGCAAUAAUACUUCGGAAGAGUGAAUCUUUCUGAAUAAAUGUCUUGAUCUUAGGAGCAUGAUAAAUCUCUCAACAAGGGUCUAACUCAUUUUGAACAAACACAAUACAGAGUAGAUAGCCUUUGUAAUCAUAAUUAAUAUUUUAGUUUUAUCGGGCAUAUAAAACACUGAGGAUGGUAGCUAGAAUUUUGAAUAUUUUGAAAUAAAUUCUCCAAGCAACAAUGAUAUCAAGAAUAAGAAACUCAUACUCUACCAUCACAUAUUCCAUAUUGACUUAAGUAACACAGGGUUUUAAAAUGAUUUUGCAAGUUUUCAGGAAAUAUCACAAAUUGAGAUUAAUCAUGAUUAGAAAUAUUUUAAUCUUUUUAUUUUAUCAUGUCGGAAACAAUAAUCUGCAUAAUCCAAAAUAUAUGUAUGUGUAAAGUAAAGUGUGCAGAGUGUGUACCUGAAUCGUGGAGUGGUGUAGUCGGAGUGUGUUUAGCAUGUCGAGGGAUCUCCCCCAUACUUGUUUUCUGCUUUCUUGCACAAAAAUAAAGUAGAGACACACAAGACAUAAUAAUAAUAAUACUCUUUAUUAAUCUUGAGGCAUUUAUUACAAAAGACUAGUAGCAAACUGAUAACAAACUGAUGAUAAUAGCAAACUGAUGAUAAUUGCAAACCUAAACCGAAUUUAAAGAUAGAUGACUCAAUUGCAUUGCCUCAAGGUCUAACCUAGAUAACUUAGCGGCGCUCUAAUUCCUUAAUCUUCUUGUUGGCACUGGCAAGAUCCUGCCUAAGGCCUAGUAUAAUAGUGUUGUGGUUAGAGAGCUACCUAGUGAGGGAAUUAAUUGAGGACUGGAGAUCUAUGAUAACUCUGUCUAGCCUGCGAACGUCCUCAUCAAUAUCGACUAUAGUCUUGCGACGCUUGGGAGGUGUCUCAAAAGCAUUGAGAGCGUGCUUCGGGACUGCCUUUGGAGGGAUGAAACGGACUUUGGCUGCUCUAAUCCCUUCAAAGUAAGGCCUUUCCUCCUCCGUAGUGUAGCGAAUACUGCUGAUCUCGCUGCUCCGGUUGGUCUUGACUCCAACGACCCUCUCAUUGGGUCUAGGUGGAAGGAUCCUCGUGCCGAUUGGCACCUUGAUAGUGGUCUUCGUCUUGGAUGAUGAUCCUUUGAGAAGUAGGGGUUGUGGUGGUGCGGUGAGAACUGGUUGAGCAUGGUAAGAUUGGGCGGAACUGCGUUGGCGUAAUGGCAUGGCUUCUAGCUGUCGCUCUGUGUUGGCCGGGACGAGAGCACGGGCAUCGGGGUCUUCCACAGGCUCCAUGUUGAGGUUGAAGGGGACGACUUCCCAAUCAUCGUGGUACUUCUCGGCCAUUGGAGCAGCAAGGAACUAAUCAAGCUCUAAUUGAAGGAGAGAAGGCUUGGUGGCUUGGUGUUUGAAAACUAAGGUCAGGGGUCUGUUUAUAUAGGGGUCAAAAAGGUGCCUCUAUGGGUUGUUCAGGUUGCUCCCGUCGACGUGCGUGCGAAACUUUCCAUCCAAGGGAUUAUUCGAAUUACCAUAAGUGCAUUUUCCAUAACAGAGAAAGUCGGGACCGAGGGGGAACAGGAGCUGGGCGCCCGCCCACUUGAUCUGGGCGCCCGCCCUCUCUCUGGCCCCUCUGUGGGCCCACUUUCUCGAGCGCGUUUCUAGAUACGAAAUUAUUUUAAAAAAUAUAUAUAUGACCCAAAAUCAUCAGACUAAAAAAGGUCGGGCUCUAAUUCUCCAUGGGAAGGUAAAAAUGGACUACGUCUAUUUCUUCAAAUUCCUCAUUGGGCUCUAUAAAUAAUUUAAGACGUUGACCAUUUACCUUGAAUAACGUACCUUCGUCAUUUUGAAGUGUGAUAGCUCCGUGGGAUGAUGAAUUAAUUACCUUGAAUGGUCCUUCCCAUUUGCUCCGGAGUUUUCCAUGCCCGAAAAGCUUCACCCUGGAAUUAAAAAAUAAUACCUUAUCUCCGGGUGUGAACUCCUUCUUCUUGAUUCUGUUGUCAUGCCACCUUUUGACUCUUUCUUUGUAGAUCUUUGAAUUGUGAUAUGCUUUCUCUCGCCAUUCUUCCAAUUCUGAUAGUUGCAUUCUUCUAUAAUCUCCAGCAACAUCUAGGUCCAUAUUCCAUCUCUUUAUGGCCCAGUGUGCUUUGGACUCUAGUUCAAUAGGUAGAUGGCAAGUCUUCCCUUACACCAAUUGGUAUGGAGACAUUCCGAUUGGGGUCUUGUAUGCUGUCCGGUAUGCCCAGAGUGCAUCGGGUAACUUGUCUUUCCACGCCGUUCCCAUUUCAUUUACUGUCUUCUGAAGAAUAUUCUUGAUUUAUUUGUUGGAAGUCUCUGCUUGGCCACUUGUCUGAGGAUGAUAAGGGGUAGCGACGUUGUGAUGGAUUCCAUGUCUUGAUAGAUAUUGCUUGAAGCGUUUGUCGAUGAAGUGUGCUCCUCCAUCACUUAUCACUACUCUGGGGACUCCAAAUCUUGGAAAUAUAAUUUCUUCAAAUAUCCUCUUUGAACUGACGUUGUCGGCAUGCUUGCAAGGUAAUGCCUCUACCCACUUGGAGACAUAGUCAACCGCCACCAAGAUGUACUCGCACUUCUUUGAUGGAGGAAAUGGACCCAUAUAGUCUAUUCCCCAGACAUCAAAGAGCUCAAUCUGAAGGUUGUUGGUGAGUGGCAUUGCAUCCCUUGUAUUUAUGUUUCUGUGUCUUUGACAUGGCCCACAUCUUCUGAUAUAUUGCUUCGUGUCUUCAUACAUUGUAGGCCAGUAGAAUCCACAUUGCCAGAUCUUUGAAUGUGUACGGAAUGCUCCAUAGUGACCUCCAUAUGGUGAUGAAUGACAUCUGUCGAUGAUCUUCCAUCCUUCCUCAGUGGUCACACAUCUCCUGAGUAAGCCAUCAGAGCAUACUCGGAAGAGGUAUGGCUCAUCCCAUAUAUGUGAACGACUUUCUUGAAUAAGCUUCUUCUUGUUUGCUCCUGGUGGUACAUACCCUAAAACCAUAAAAUUAACAAUAUCUGCAUACCAGGGGUCAGACCUGUUAAUCCCGUAGAGCAUGUCGUCCUGGAGUGAAUCAUUGAUGGGGGUUUCCUGUGGACUCUUAAAAUACAUUCUAGACAAGUGAUCAGCAACAGAAUUUUCUACUCCCUUUUUAUCUUUUAUUUCUAAGUCAAAUUCUUGGAGUAAUAAGAUCCAUCUAAUCAGGCGAGGUUUAGCAUCUUUUUUAGUGAGCAAAUAUUUUAGUGCAGCAUGAUCAGUAUAAACAAUUAUUUUAGCUCCAACUAAAUAAGAUCUAAAUUUAUCAAUGGCAAAGACAACAGCCAGAAGCUCUUUUUCAGUGGUUGCAUAAUUAAGUUGAGCUCCUGUCAAAGUUUUACUGGCAUAAGCAAUUGCAUGAUGCUUUUUAUUUUUAGUUUGUCCCAAUACUGUCCCCACAGCAUAAUCACUAGCAUCACACAUAAUUUCAAAAGGCAGCGACCAAUCAGGGGGUUGAAUGAUUGGUGCAGAGAUGAGUGCUUUCUUUAAUAAAUUGAAAGAUGUUAGACAUGCAUCAUCAAAUUCGAAAGGAGCAUCGUUGGCUAGCAAAAGAGUAAGUGGUCUAGCAAUAAAUGAAAAAUCUUUUAUGAAUCUACGAUAAAAACCAGCAUGGCCAAGAAAGCUUCGAAUUCCUUUUAUGUUCACAGGUGGAGGUAGUUGUUCAAUUACUUCAAUUUUAGCUUUGUCUACAUCAAUACCUCUUUCAGACACUAGGUGUCCCAGCACUAUUCCUUCCCUAACCAUAAAAUGACAUUUUUCCCAAUUAAGGAUUAAGUGCUUUUCUUCAUAUCUUUGCAAAACCUUGUCUAAGUUUUCAAGACAACUAUCAAAAGUUUUUCCAUAAACAGAGAAAUCAUCCAUGAAAACUUCCAUAAUCUCUUCAAUCAUAUCAGAAAAUAUAGACAUCAUGCAUCUUUGAAAAGAAGUUGGUGAAUUACAUAACCCAAAAGACAUUCUACGAUAAGCAUAAGUUCCAUAUGGGCAUGUAAAAGUGGUUUUGCUUUGAUCAUCGGGAUGGAUCGGGAUUUGAUGAUACCCUGAAUAUCCAUCUAAGAAACAAAAGAAUGAAUGGUUUGCUAACCGCUCUAGCAUUUCAUCUAUAAAAGGUAAAGGUAAGUGAUCCUUUCUCGUGGCUUUGUUUAGUUUUCUAUAGUCUAUGCACAUCCGCCAUCCGGUGACGGUGCGUUGCGGAAUUAGCUCGUUCUUUUCAUUCAUAAUAACAGUCAUGCCUCCCUUUUUAGGCACAACUUGUACUGGGCUCACCCACUCACUGUGCGGCAUAGGAUAUAUAAUCCCUACAUGCAGCAACUUUAUAACUUCCUUUUUAACUACCUCUCUCAUAGUGUUAUUAAGUCUACGUUGGUGUUCUCGAGAGGGUGAAACAGAAGGAUCUGUUGGAAUACGAUGGGUACAAAUCAUAGGACUGAUUCCUGUAAGAUCUUGAAGUGAGUAGCCGAAUACUGAGUGAUGUUUCUCAAGAAUGGUCAUUAAUCGCAGAGUUUGAUCCUGAGUGAGUUUAUCGCUAAUGAUCACAGGGAACUCUGGAUUAUUGUUUAGGAAAGCAUAGGUAAGACCGGGUGGUAAAGUUUUAAGCUUUAUAGGGGGUCUAGGUUUGUCUUCUUCUUCUGUGAAGAAAGGAGUUUCGUCUUCUUAUUGUUUAAGGAGUGUGAAAUUAUUAUUGGGAAUUUAAAAGUUUUUCCAAAAGAAAUGUGUAGCUUUCCAGUAUGACCUUCAUAAAGGAGUCUUUUAAAAGGUUGUCCUAUUAACAGGUCGAAGUCCCAUGUAUCAAAGAUAUAGAAGUUCAAAUGAACCAUGGAGCCUUCUACCGUAAGAGGUAGGACAUUAAUAAUUCCAAGACUGGGGACUAAUCGUCCUGAAGAUUCCUUUAUGACCUUUGUUGUGGGGGUUAAGACAAGAUUUUUAAAUAGUUUAAGUGCAAAAGAUUCAGACAUGAUGUUGAUCCCCACAACAGGAUUAUAGAGAGCAUUAAAUCGAUCAGAAUUAUAAGCACAGCGUAUAGUUAUAGAGGGUGUGUCCAAACGGAUCACAUCAGAGUAAAGUUCUAAUUCCUCCAACCAUUCGCUACUCAUUACUGAGAUAAGCUCUCUCAAUUGAUAUUCACUUGGCAAAUAAAUGCUAAACUGGCCGUUUUGGGGUUUGUCAAUAGAAUGGUAGUUUGAAAUAUUUCCAAAAUCGGCAAAAAAAUCGGAUUCUAUAUCCUGCAUGAAGUCCGGUGGUGGAAUUUCUUCCUCUUGUGGCUCAGAACUUGGGAUAGCUAAAGUAGAUGAAGAAUUUGGCAGAGUGUCUACUUUGGCUUCGUAGGUUUCAUCAUGAAGGGUAUUAUCCAUCUCAGCUUCUAGGAUUCUAUCUAGGAUCACUCUAGCUUCAUCAGCAGGGAUGCGAAAGAAAGAACCUCUAGACAUUGUGUGAAGCAUUUGUUUGUGAUUUUUAUGAAGACCUCGAAAAAAGUGAAAUAAAAGAACAGGGUCUUCAAGAUUAAGGUUUGGACCAGAUUCUAAAAGAUCAGAAAAACGUUUCCAGGAUUUUCCCAAAGUUUCAUUAUCUUUUUGUUUAAAAGAUAGGACUUCGAGUCUAAGGUCGGCUAUACGGUCAAGGGAAUAGAAAUCUAGACAGAAGUUAGCUCGUAAAACUCCCCAUUCACCUUGUUGUUGACUUACCUUCUGGCUGUACCAUUGUCUAGCUUCUCCCCUUAAGGAAAAAGGAAAAAGCUUCCAGCGUAAAGUUUUAUCAGAAAUGCCUUCAAUGCGAAGACAAUCACAUGUUUGCUCAAAAUCUCUAAUAUGAAGGUAAGGGUUUUCGUCUUCCUUUCACGAAAAAGAUAGGUUUUGAAUCAUGGCAAUCAACCUAGAACUUAACUUAUACUGGGAUGUUUGGAUAGGCUGUGAUGACUCCCAUGGUAAAAGGUCAGUUGCUAAAGGGAUUGCAGACUCAUGGACCGAUUUAGAAUUUUGGUUUUCCAUAAGGUAAGAGUAAAUAAAUAAAGAAUAUAAAAGAUAAGAAAAGAUAAAAGUAUAGAUACAAGCUAAUAGUAAGACUCAGGUUAUCUCAGCAACCGUCUUUCUCCCCGGCAACGGCGCCAGAAAUGCUUGUUGAUAUUUGGUAACGCAAUAAGGAAACGAUCCGCAAGCGCACGGAUAUCGGUGAACAUUUCACCCAGAAGGAUAUCCAGAGUUAUCGUAUUUAUAUUUUUACCACUGGGAUAAAGGGUGCAUCUGACUAACCAAAUCUAGUGCUACUAUCCCUUUAGGCACAAAGAAUGUCUUUCGAUGUGAGUGAUAAAUAGAGAAGACUGCAACCGUAGUCUCCUUCUAACCUUGGUAAGGAUGAUCUACUGUUCUAAUGGGGAGGCUAACGGAAUCUAGACAACACAAAGGAUGUUCGACCCGCACCUAUAAACCCUAUCCUUCCUGCUAACGAGAUGUGAUCUGCAAAGGUAACUCGGAAUUGUCACGUUCCUCACUACUACCACGGUCCAGCUAGUCAGGAAAUAUCUAUGAGUACCCCAGCCUAAACACCACGUUUACGCCAGCAAUGAUUACUCUAAACUCUACGCGAAGAGAUUUAAGUAAACUCAUAAACCAUAAGAACAAUAAAACAAGAACUUACUAGAAUUUAGAAGUCGAAAUACUGAAGAAUCCUAGGAGCAAGCUUCGGGUUAGGAGAACUUGAUCUCGCAGGUACAAGCUUGGAGUAGACACCGACAGGCCGGGCUUCCUCCAAUCUACACCUCUGCUGGGUAUUCUUAACAUCAUUACCAAAAGUAGACUAAGUUCUCUAAAUCUAGUAACGGUGCCAAAAAUGCCAAACCUAUCCCUCACACCACUUAAGCCAAGUUGUCAUCCCCAGCAUGAUAUAAGAGACGCGGUAUUGAAAUAUGCAAUUGCUCUUCUAAAUAAAUAAUAAAUGGGAUCUGCAAGCGCACAGAUUAAUACCGAUGCAGCAUUUUAACCGGGAAGUAUUCCAGGUAUCGUUAUUUAUAUUUUUACCACUGGGAAGGGAUUAACAAUCAUCACUAUUGAUUACAGAAUAGAAUAUGAGAUUGAGCAUCUAUCAUUGCAUAUAUAAUUGAGAACAUUAUAUCUAAGUCUUCAUACAGGGAUAAGUGUCACAUAAAAGAUAUAUGAAAUAAUAAUAGUGACAAGGAUAACUAAUCUGAUCUAGCCACAUAUUAAAUAUGAUAAGCACCUCAAUUAGAUACUCUAGAAAGUCAUUAGCAUGGUAUUAGAACAAACUACAAGAAUAUUCCCUAAGUUAUUCUCAACUAUAUAGUCUAGCAUUAUCAUAGUUAGUGCAAGCAUACUUAGCAAUCAUUGUGAGACAAGACUACGCCCAUGCAUAGUGAUAUUAGCAAGGAAUAUGAGAAACAUAGCAAUCACUCCCCUGUAAUAAUGUUGCUCUGCUAGCCCAAUACACGAGAGGAGGACUAUAUAAGAAUCAAUGAAGCUGUCACUAUCACGAACCACCCCACGAUCUGGCAUAUUGGGUACAAUCGUAGAUAAAUACGGUAUAAACACCACGCUUACACAAUAUCUAUCAUUUACCCAUGGAUCCGAUGGAUAAACGCUAUACGAUCCUAAGCAUGUAUAUAGAUCGAAUCUAACUAAGCCAAGUACAUAACUAUGAUAAACUAAGAACAAUAUAAUCUUGAAUAUAAGCAAGUAGAGCAAAGUCAUAAGCAAUAUAUUGAAGUAGAACAAAGUCAUAUUCAUAAUAUUGAAGAACAAAGAUAAUUAGAAAGUAAUUAGAAGCACAAUUAGAGAAUUACCAAGAAUCCUCCUGACAGAUCCGGAAACCAAUCGAAGAUUGACUCCUUCUAGUUCUAAUCCUAUGUAGCUAUGCUAAUCUAGAUAUCUAAUUGAUGUGGUGGCUCUAAUCUUGAUCAGAGGCUUCUUCUCCCUUGAUGGAACAAUGAAUUAGGGUUGAGAGGCUCUCUCCUCUAGGGGCCAGGGGGUCUGGUUUUAUAGUCCCUUCAAGUGAAUAUGGGCCGUUGGAUCAAACUGACAUAGAUUGUAUGGUUUAGAUUCAUCCUUUAGGUCGGUGGAAAUCUCCCGCAAAGCAGAGUCCUGAUUGGACUCAGAGGCAGGGCGGGCGCCCAGGGUCUGGCCCCGUUUCGCCUCCGCUUCGGUCUCGUGGCUUCUGGAGUCUUCUAGAUGUAAGAUAAUUGUGUGGCACGUUAAUAUCUCUAUGUAAUCCCGACGUGUGGGCCUUUCUUCCGUAUUUCCUGAUAACCCCCUACAGAAAUAGACAAACACCAAAACUCGUGGAAUUCUGUCAGAUAAAACCCUAAGUCUAGAUGUUGAUUUCAUUUGGAUCCUUUUCUUUUUUUAUUUGAUAAUUAAAUUUGAUACUUAAGGACUGUCAACAAACUCCUCCAAGCUUACCUCUUGCUCGUCCCUGAGCAAGGAUAGACUCAGCUAUGGAUCAUAAGUUGUUGCAAUAUUUUUUUUUAAAUUUGACGGUACACAUACUUUUUAAAUAAGAUCUCAUCUCUGAGUUAGAGUAAACUGUCAAGACUUAAAACUUACUUACUUUACCUUCUUGUAACUGUCACUUCUGUCUUGAGUAGUUAAAAGAUAGAACAGUCCAGCCAAGUGCCAUGUCUCUUAUUCUUGAUCAGCUAUAGCUCUGGGGUUUUUGCAGAUUUUCAAAUAAAACUCAGAGAUUCCUUGUCUGACUCUCUUAAAUCUCUCUUUUGUGGUAUUUCUGGAUCCUUACCAAGGCAGUAAUGGUAUAUGCCUUCUCUCAAGAUAUGUAGUAUUUGUGGUAUAAAGCAUAGUGACAUUGUCUUCUCUCUCACCUUACUCUAAUAAGGCUUUAAUAUCUGGAGCUCAUAGGUGGGACAUAAAGUAUACAUACUUACAAGACAUUUAUUGUAUAGUCAAACCAUGGAUACAAAGAAACAAAUCAAUAAGUUUAAUUAAGAUGUGCAUGUGUGGCGAAUGAAUGGUGUAUAGUGAUGAUGAUGAUAACAAUGGUGAAAACAAUGGAGGUGGAAGUCUAAUUCUACUUUUGCUCUUUGAGGGGAUACAUACCUUCCUUGCUUUUUGAAACUUUAUGAGGAGAAUGAGAUGCUCUUCUUUUUCUUUUCUCUCAGGUGGGUAUCUUGCACCCCUAAUUCUACUGUCGGACACUUGUCCAUUUUUACCUCUCGUCUCACUUUUUUCUUUUUCUUUCGAGGUUCCAAGCACUUUCUCCUUUUUAUUUCCUCGUAUUUUUUUUAUUUUCUUCUUUUUUUAAGCACUCAUCUCUUGAGAUAAUAUAGCAAGUGGUAGUAACAAGAUAACUUGAGCAUUUAUUUCACAAGGGAAAACAUAAAUAUUUUUGGUUAUUCUCUCCCGGGUUAGGAGUAGAAUAUUUUUGGGUGAUUCUAGAGAUGGAAUGGGUGGAUAUAUGUGGAUGGUACUUCCGGAGUAGAAGUAGCAUAUAUGAGUGAACGUGCAAGUGAAAUCUUGAUUUAACCACAUGACAAGUUCCUAAGGGUCUACACAGCUUGACCACACUCAAUGCUCAUAAGCAGUAAAUAGUAAAUGUGUGGCUCAAAGUCUAGCAAGCAUGUAUAUAUGGCUAUGGUAGGAAUUUAAACUCUCAUCAUACAGGAACUCAUCAUGCAACAUUUUAAAGAUUUUCAAAGAUAAAAUUCUCCAGAAUUCUAGCAUCUCUAGGAACAGAUAAACAGCAGCUCAACCUUCCCAUAUCGUAUCCGUUAACAACUUAGACUUUAGAUCAAGUUUUCAUCCCACAAGUUUAGGUCUAGAACAAGCUUUAAAUUAUAACAGUUAUGUCUAAACUUGAGAGAGAACUUAAAAUGUGCAAAUUAGGCAGAGCAACCAUUUAUCAUAUCCAUGCUUAAGUUUUAUUAUUAAGAUACAGAUUAACAUAGCCACUUUAUUUAUUUAUUAAACACACUAAGCAAAAGAUAUAUAUAUAUACAUAAAAUCUUUAUUUGGUUUUUCAU